AGAGUUUGAUCCUGGCUCAGGAUGAACGCUAGCGGCAGGCCUAAUACAUGCAAGUCGAACGCUCAGUAGCAAUACUGGGAGUGGCGCACGGGUGCGUAACGCGUACACAAUCUACCUCUAAGCGGGGGACACCUCCUGGAAACGGGGAUUAAUACCGCAUAAUAUGCCGAGGUCGCAUGACUUUGGUAUUAAAGCAGCAAUGCACUUAGAGAUGAGUGUGCGUCCCAUUAGGUAGUUGGUGAGGUAACGGCUCACCAAGCCUAUGAUGGGUAGCCGGUCUGAGAGGAUGGUCGGCCACACGGGCACUGAGACACGGGCCCGACUCCUACGGGAGGCAGCAGUAAGGAAUAUUGGUCAAUGGUGGAAACACUGAACCAGCCAUGCCGCGUGGAGGAAUAAGGUCCUACGGAUUGUAAACUCCUUUUGACGAGGAAGAAAGUGUUAGACUUAUCUAAUUUUGACGGUACUCGUAGAAUAAGCACCGGCUAACUCCGUG
RNAcentral lists this ribosomal RNA (496 nucleotides) under uncultured bacterium. RNAcentral describes it as "bacterial SSU rRNA". It matches the Rfam family "Bacterial small subunit ribosomal RNA", at positions 8 to 507 of the family's 1533-position model. The record is from RNAcentral.